Molecule: long non-coding RNA, 1737 nt
Filed under: Pelobates cultripes (western spadefoot toad)
Lineage: Eukaryota; Metazoa; Chordata; Amphibia; Anura; Pelobatidae
Source: RNAcentral
UUUUUUUUUUUUAUAUCACUAACACUCUUGUAGAUUGGCUUUUCACCAUCUGUCCUAGCUGCAGCCUGCAAAGUUAAAGGAACACUCCAAGCGCCAUAAACACUAUAGCACGCUGUAGUGGGCAUAAUUCCAAAGUUCCACAUUAUAAGGCCUCAAACCAUUUUUAGAACUUUUUAAAUUCUUAACAGGGGUCUGCUCCCCACUCCACUACGUGAACCAGAGAACCAGAGAGCCAGAGACUCUGUUCACACUGAGCUAACCAAUGCAGUGCGGGGCUAGCUCAUUGGCUGAGAACAUCAGCCGAUUAGUCUCAGCCAAUGAGCUAAACCCUGCACUGCCGGUCUUAGCUCAGACAUAGAGCUUCGUCUUCUAGCUGAGGUAGUGGAGGAGGAAGAGCAUCACUUGGCAGAUGGCAGAUAAGAAAGGCACGUGUGGGACCAUAAUCACUACAGCAUGCUAUAGUGGUUAUGGUGCUUGGAAUGUCUUUUAAUGAUUAUUCUAGCCUAAAAGAUGUUAGACACAUCCCAGGACAGGAGUUCACAACUCAAGAAUUCCCAAGCCUACUGCCCCUCCCUGCCCCCACCCCAAGGCCCACACUCUGUCUUAUGUCCAGCUUUUCUUCUUGUAUUUUAAAUUAAUCUUGUAACCUGUAAUUCUUUUCGAUUAAUAGGCACGCUUUUUUUGGAAUAAAGUUUAAAUCACCUUUAAACCUACCUGAAAUGCUGUCUCCCUAUUGCAGCCUGAUCGGGCUUUGCUGAAGUCACCAAACAUGAUGACUAUUGUAUCCUCAUAGAGAAGCAUUGCACACACACCCGGCGUCAGCAUACUUUGCAUGCUGACUCCAGAGGUAAAAUAAAUUCAAUUAUCCUGGUCAGUCUGCUCAACCCCCUCCGUCCACUCUAUAUCUCAUUCUCAGCCUUUUCUGCUGUAUUUUAAAUGAAUCUCUUUUAUUAUCAAUCUCCCCCAGAACAGAUCUUCCAUUUAAUCUGAUUCUCGAAACCCUGAUCUCUAAAUCCCGCGAUUAACCUCUACUGUACACCUACUACUUAGCAAUUAAGACUUGAUUAUAAGAUGAAAGAAUUCCUGCCUCAAUUCUAUCUGCAUCUAAUUACAUACUGCUCUUUCUCUAACCCAAACCAAUUCGUUCAGCAUUAAUGGUUGCAAGGCACCAUGGGUAAAGGCAUAACAAAAGGUACGUACAAUUAAAUACAAUCAUUGGAAAUUAUUUCCACUUCAACAUUUCUGCAUUCAUUUCAAACGAAUCCUGCUGGUUUUUAUAGGAGGGACACAAAAUAUGUUGCAGGCUUCCUUCGUGUCAAAGGAGUUAAUCUGAGCCUGACUGUUACUUAUCUCCCACAAUCCUCUCUGGCUGAUGUGUUUUGACAUCUUUGUCGUGGUAUUACAAACAGUGGAGAAAAAUAUUUGUGCACGGGCACAUUCCUCCGUAUGAACCCAAAUAAACGAAUUUGAACUGUAGACACUCACAGAUUAAUCCUUGCUGAGAAAGACAUGGCCAUGUUCCAAAGAGUUUGUAAAAAUAGUUAAAAUGGCCUACCACUGUCCGUUUCUCCAAUGCCCUUCAGGGAUAUCCAGCGCGGGGGUGACUGGCAGAGAAAUUGUUCUACACAACAGUGAAUAUGACAAAUUGAGCUAAGAAACGGCAGUGUGUUUUCCUCUGUAUUGAAGGAAGGAAAUUGCCCAGCAGCGGCCCAAACUAUCCAUUUAUAUACACAACAG